Molecule: transfer RNA, 72 nt
Organism: Camelus ferus (Wild Bactrian camel)
Lineage: Eukaryota; Metazoa; Chordata; Mammalia; Artiodactyla; Camelidae
Rfam family: tRNA
About the family: Transfer RNA (tRNA) molecules are approximately 80 nucleotides in length. Their secondary structure includes four short double-helical elements and three loops (D, anti-codon, and T loops).
Source: Rfam
AGGGAAAUAGCUCGGUAAUAGAGCACAUGCUUAGCAUGCAUGAGGUCCUGGGUUCAAUCCCCAGUACCUCCA